AAAUAAUUAUAUAUUAAUUAUAAUAUUAAGUUUUAAAUUUUAAUUCAUAUAAAUUGUUUAUUUAUGUAAAUAAUUUAUAGUUUAAAUAUUAUAAAUGUAUAAAUAAUUAUUUAGAAUUUAAUGUUUUUUUUUAUGUAUUUAUAAAUAAAAAAAUUUAUAAUGUUAAUGUUUAAUUUUGUGCCAGCAAUCGCGGUUAUACAAUUAUUAUUUUUAAUAUAUUUUAGUAUUGAUUAGUUAAUUAGAAUUUUUAAAUUAAAUUGUUGUUAUUAGGUGAAAUUAUUAAUAAUUUUAUAAUUAAAUGAUUAUAUUUUUAAUGUUUAAGUUAAUUUUAAGACUAGAAUUAGAUACUCUAUUAUUAAAAAUUAAAAUUUUAUUUUACUGAAAUAAUUAAAAAUUAUAAUAUUUAAAAUUUAAUGUAUAUGGCAGUAAUUAAAUCAAUUUAGAGGAACUUGUUUAUUAAUAGAUAAAACACUAUAGAUUUAACUUAAAUUGUCUUAAUUUAUGUAUUGUUAUAAUAAAAAUUUAAUUUAAAUUUUUAUUGAAAAUUUUAAUUUUUAUAUAUUUAAAUUUAUUUUAAAUCAAAAUAUAAUAGGUAAUUGAGAAUUAUUAUGAGUUACAAAAAAUUUAAAUUUUAUUUUUGUUUAGAUAUUAAAUUUUUAAAUUAAAUUGGAUUUAAUAGUAAUUAAUAAUUUAUUAUUAUUAAUGAUUUUAGUUUUUUAUUAUGUACAUAUUGCCCGUCAAUCUAAUAUUUAUUAGGUAAGUCGUAACAAAGUAGAGGUACUGGAAAGUGUUUCUUGAA
This 799-nucleotide non-coding RNA is filed under the name Ecnomus sp. XG-2021. Lineage: Eukaryota; Metazoa; Arthropoda; Insecta; Trichoptera; Ecnomidae. The record is from RNAcentral.